CACUGCUACUACUACUAUAUAUUUCUUUAAAUCAGUACAAGAACCGUUGCACCACUCCAAAAUGAUUAAUUAACACCACAACAAUGGUUAAAACAUUGAUAUGGCCAGAGCAAAUUUAAACCGACAGCCAAAACCAAAUCAAAAGCGUAAAGGCCUGCUUAAAUACAUGGCUUCCGAUAUGUUUAAGNCUGCAAGAUGAUGACAAGUUUGGGAUUUUAUUAUAUCACUCUCCUUCCCCUUCAGUUGUUGCUGAGGACAUGUAACUCAUGGCAAGUGAGGUCUCAUCUGCCGGUGCAGCCACCGCUGGUGCUUGGAAUUGUUGCUUGCAAGCUUGGCAAGUGAUUUGCAUGAUUGUAGAACUGAUCUUCUUUGUAGCUUGUUCUCUUAAUACUUGAGCCUUUUCAAGUUCAGCUG
RNAcentral lists this unclassified non-coding RNA (414 nucleotides) under Hevea brasiliensis (rubber tree). The record is from RNAcentral. Lineage: Eukaryota; Viridiplantae; Streptophyta; Magnoliopsida; Malpighiales; Euphorbiaceae.